Molecule: ribosomal RNA, 465 nt
Filed under: uncultured bacterium
Lineage: Bacteria
Description: partial 16S ribosomal RNA
Rfam family: Bacterial small subunit ribosomal RNA
Source: RNAcentral
GACGAACGCUGGCGGCGUGCUUAACACAUGCCAGUCGAACGGAAAGGCCCCUUUGGGGGUACUCGAGUGGCGAACGGGUGAGUAACACGUGAGUAACCUGCCCUUGACUUCGGGAUAACUUCAGGAAACUGGGGCUAAUACCGGAUAGGAAUCCUUGCUGCAUGGUGGGGGUUGGAAAGCUUCGGCGGUUUUGGAUGGACUCGCGGCUUAUCAGCUUGUUGGUGGGGUAGUGGCUUACCAAGGCUUUGACGGGUAGCCGGCCUGAGAGGGCGACCGGCCACAUUGGGACUGAGAUACGGCCCAGACUCCUACGGGAGGCAGCAGUGGGGAAUAUUGCACAAGGGGCGGAAGCCUGAUGCAGCAACGCCGCGUGCGGGAGGACGGCCUUCGGGUUGUAAACCGCUUUCAGCAGGGGCGAAGCUUGUGGUGACGGUACCUGCAGAAGAAGCACCGGCUAACUACGUG